Molecule: unclassified non-coding RNA, 337 nt
Filed under: soil metagenome
Description: partial contains 5.8S ribosomal RNA, internal transcribed spacer 2, and large subunit ribosomal RNA
Rfam family: 5.8S ribosomal RNA (bases 1-120)
Source: RNAcentral
GAUGAAGAACGCAGCGAAAUGCGAUAAGUAGUGUGAAUUGCAGAAUUCAGUGAAUCAUCGAAUCUUUGAACGCACAUUGCGCCCCUUGGUAUUCCAUGGGGCAUGCCUGUUCGAGCGUCAUUUGUACCCUCAAGCUCUGCUUGGUGUUGGGUGUUUGUCUCGCCUCUGCGUGUAGACUCGCCUCAAAACAAUUGGCAGCCGGCGUAUUGAUUUCGGAGCGCAGUACAUCUCGCGCUUUGCACUCAUAACGACGACGUCCAAAAGUACAUUUUUACACUCUUGACCUCGGAUCAGGUAGGGAUACCCGCUGAACUUAAGCAUAUCAAUAAGCGGAGGA